Molecule: ribosomal RNA, 475 nt
Filed under: uncultured bacterium
Lineage: Bacteria
Description: bacterial SSU rRNA
Rfam family: Bacterial small subunit ribosomal RNA
Source: RNAcentral
AGGACGACGCUGGCGGCGUGCCUAACACAUGCAAGUCGAGCGAGGAGAUUCCUUCGGGAUGAUCCUAGCGGCGGACGGGUGAGUAACACGUGGGCAACCUGCCUCAUAGAGAGGAAUAGCCUUCCGAAAGGGAGAUUAAUACCUCAUAACAUUGCAGUUUCGCAUGGAACAGCAAUUAAAGGAGCAAUCCGCUAUGAGAUGGGCCCGCGGCGCAUUAGCUAGUUGGUGAGGUAACGGCUCACCAAGGCGACGAUGCGUAGCCGACCUGAGAGGGUGAUCGGCCACAUUGGGACUGAGACACGGCCCAGACUCCUACGGGAGGCAGCAGUGGGGAAUAUUGCACAAUGGGGGAAACCCUGAUGCCGGCAACGCCGCGUGAGUGAUGACGGCCUUCGGGUUGUAAAGCUCUGUCUUCAGGGACGAUAAUGACGGUACCUGAGGAGGAAGCCACGGCUAACUACGUGCCAGCAGCCGC